Non-coding RNA from Pelobates cultripes (western spadefoot toad), 1092 nucleotides. The record is from the annotation of a GenBank genome assembly. Lineage: Eukaryota; Metazoa; Chordata; Amphibia; Anura; Pelobatidae.
AUUCAAACUACCCCACAAAGGCCUACCAUUACUUAAAUAAGGUAUUAACCUGCAUCAAACUUUGAGGCACUGUCUGUCAACUCUGUCUUCUGAUAGAAUUCAGAAUCCUCCUCGGCACUGAACUUUUUAAGCAUUUUUAACUUUAACUAAACAAUGUUAUGAUUUUUUUUCUUCUUUUUUUUUUAAAAUCUUUUCACCCCUAACAUACCACUAAACUUCCCAAUUUCCCAUGAAUUACCAUACACCCUAAUUAACAAAAUAAAAUCAGAAAAAUAAAGAUAAUAAAAUAAUCAGUCAGAGUUCAGAAUUGCCGCAGCCUCCUUGGCCCUAAAAGUCGUCAGCAACUUUAAAAUGGAACUAAAUAAUAAUAAUGAUAAAAUAUAACAAUUUGCAACUUAUUCGUCCUGGGUGUGAAAAACUUUAAAACAGUUGCCAAUACAAAGGCCAGGCUAAGAGGGGCAAUCAGGGCAGUAAAAGCUGGUUUCCGUCCUUAUGCCCCUUUGGUAGCACAACUUGCACCUUUUCUGGGGUUUCUUAUUUUUGGGGGUUGGUGGUAUGCGGAAACUGAAGUGACCUGUCUCAACCCUUUUGCUGCUAGGCCCGGCUGAUUGUUCCCCACUGUGGCACUCAGUAAGCAGCCGAGAAAUCAGCUGAAACUGAAAAUCCAGAUAUGUGGAUUUAAUUUCAGCAUUUGCCUUUUUGUAUAGAAUAAAGGCAUUGUGUGUUGCCAUUUGCAUUAGGUAAAUGCUAAGUUUUUUGUACCAUGCUCUGGUCUUCCUUUGUAUUAAAUAUGGCUGCAGCAGUUGGUCGGACAGGUCAACUCCCCACAUAUGCUUGUUGUACUGCCAAAUGCAGGCUGGCACCCGUCUAGUUUCUUGUCUGCCACAAACUGCAACUCUUCGAGUGUGCUCAGUAUGCAUGGAUGUUAGCAUGAACACCUCCUUUUUAUCUUUAAAUUUGAGAGCCAGCAGUUCGUCCUGGCAGAGAGCAGCUGUUUCCCCCCUCUCUAGCUUUUCUUGUGCCAGGGCUUUGGGAAACCAACACAUUUUGUGCAUGGUUUCAAAGCAAUAAAGCAUCCGAGGAAGAGAGAUG